This 483-nucleotide ribosomal RNA is filed under the name uncultured bacterium. Its description in RNAcentral is "partial 16S ribosomal RNA". It matches the Rfam family "Bacterial small subunit ribosomal RNA", at positions 28 to 507 of the family's 1533-position model. The record is from RNAcentral.
GACGAACGCUGACGGCGUGCUUAACACAUGCAAGUCGAACGCUGAAGCUCAGCUUUUGUUGGGUGGAUGAGUGGCGAACGGGUGAGUAACACGUGAGUAACCUGCCUCCUUCUUUGGGAUAACGCCCGGAAACGGGUGCUAAUACUGGAUAUUCACUGGUCUUCGCAUGGGGGUUGGUGGAAAGGGUUUUUCUGGUGGGGGAUGGGCUCGCGGCCUAUCUGCUUGGUGGUGGGGUGAUGGCCUACCAAGGCUUUGACGGGGAGCCGGCCUGAGAGGGGGACCGGUCACAUGGGGACUGAGAUACGGCCCAGACUCCUGCGGGGGGCAGCAGUGGGGAAUAUUGCACAAUGGGCGGAAGCCUGAUGCAGCGACGCCGCGUGAGGGAUGGAGGCCGUCGGGUUGUGAACCUCUUUCGCUCAUGGUCAAGCCGCAACAAUGGUUGUGGUGAGGGUAGUGGGUAAAGAAGCGCCGGCUAACUACGUG